AGCAGGGCAGGAGCCUGCAGCCGUUCCCCAGCCACGCUGGGCAGCCGCGCCGUCUCCAAAUAGAGCGGCACCGAGCUGCUGUCCCGGCGCUAUUUCAGGUGCCGGCCCCAUGGCUGAGACACCCGUCUGCGUUGUUAGGCCAGCUGAGCACAGCAGCAGCCUCCCUGAGGAUACCAUGGGGGAAGGGGCAGGGUUCCCAGCACUAACCCACCAGGGGCGCCAGUCUCUUCCGCUGCCAGGCUCAGGGCACAGUCCUCUUCAUC
Molecule: long non-coding RNA, 263 nt
Filed under: Numida meleagris (helmeted guineafowl)
Lineage: Eukaryota; Metazoa; Chordata; Aves; Galliformes; Numididae
Description: lncRNA (ENSNMEG00000014733.1)
Source: RNAcentral